GGGGGGGGGGGGGGGGGGGGGGGGGGGGGGGGGGUCGGGGGGGGGGGGGGGGCGUUGGUGGGGGGCUCGGGUGGCGAACGGGGGCGUAGCACGUGCGUAGCCGGCGCGUGACUUUGGGGUCACUUCGGGGGACUGGGGCUAGUACCGGGUAGUGGCUCCUGCUGCAUGUGGGGGGGUGUACAAUUUCUGCGUUUGGGGCUGGCGUCGCGGCUGCUCAGCUUGAUGUUGGGGUAGUGGCUUACCAAGGCUUUGCCGGUGAGCUGGCCUGAGCGGGUGACCGGCCACAUGGGGACUGAGAUACGGCCCAGACUCCUACGGGAGGCAGCAGUGGGGAAUAGUGCACAAUGGGCGGAAGCCUGAUGCAGCAACGCCGCGUGCGGGAUGACGGCCUUCGGGUUGUAAACCGCUUUCGCCUGUGACGAAGCGUGAGUGACGGUAAUGGGUAAAGAAGCACCGGCUAACUACGUG
This 468-nucleotide ribosomal RNA is filed under the name uncultured bacterium. Its description in RNAcentral is "partial 16S ribosomal RNA". The stretch from base 53 to 468 matches the Rfam family "Bacterial small subunit ribosomal RNA", at positions 34 to 507 of the family's 1533-position model. The record is from RNAcentral.